AGUCGCCUGGUCUGCGGGGCUGGUCCCGGUCGCUGCCCGCGAGUCGGCAGUUCGAGUCCCGCGGCGCCCCGGUCCCGCUACGAGCCGCAGCCAUGAGGGACGAGUUGGUCUGGUCCCGCGACACCCUGUAGACACACGCCGACUCCCAAGACCACACAGAGCCUUGCACGCCUCUGCAGUCUGCUGCCCUCCAGCCAGAAACCAGAAAAUGAAGAGUUGAGCCACUGUGUUCAAGUUCUAGCUGUGAACAUUUCACCUAGUUAAGGUGGCGAUGAAGCAGUCUUGACGCAGGCGUGAGCAGUGGACUGCGUGCGACCACUCGUCCGACACCACGGGUGAGUCGCACGUGGCACGGCUGCCUCCCCUCCGCCCGUCCACGCACUCUCCCUGCUGCGCACCGACGGACCAACUGCGCACUUUCAAACAAACAACCUUGGUUGUUACAACUUUUUAUUACUACAUUCCCGCAAGCAAUGUAGUUGUUUACAGAUGUACUGGGUCUAAAACAAGCUCGAUUGUACCCUUAGAAUGAACGUUAGAUUUAUUGCCAAACAAUCUGGUUUGAAAACUAAAGAGUCGGUUGAAAAAAAAAACUGGCCAGUAUUAGUUAAAACGUUUGAAUAGUACAGUUUGAAACUUUGAUAAAUUUUGUACAUUGGUUUAGCCAAAUAUGAAAAUGAAGUUGAACGAGGAUUAGAAAACAUUGUCGAAUGUUAAAAAAAAAAGUGUUUAGAAUAAAACAUUUUUAUGAAGGGGAACUAAGAAUACAUAACUGUUACCGUAUGUGCGUUGUACUAAUGGACGGAGUGUUCCAGAGACAUUCGAAAGACUUUAAAAGGACUUCACGUAGUGCUGUUGGCUACUUUUGAACGGGCGCUUUUGGCACCCCUGCCCAUUGUUCGCGCUAUCGACCGAAAUAGCGAGCUGAAAGGCUGGAGUGUUUAAUGUCCUUAGGAGCGCGUCGGGAGGUCCUUCGCGCCGGUAUUUUCAUCCCGGCCGUGACGUCAUCGGCCGCGCGGACAAUGCGCGGCGGCGCGCGUCAGCGCCACAAACACGACGCUAUAGCACAAACAACAACCUUCACAGGGCACAUCUGCACGCGCGUUCCAAGUGGUGCUAGCAGUUGAUGUAAUACACUCGACUGCGUUUGGAUUAAUAGUCAGCACAAGUAUCUCAGUUUGGCCACAUAACAUUUGUAAAAGUAGAGAACUUUUUUUUUUUUUUUUUGCUGCACAAUGGUCAUUAAUAUAGAGUAAAUAACAUGCACGAAGAACGAGUCUGAAUUCGCCUGACAAAUUUCGCCCGCAGCUUCAUCGCGACAAAAUAAGUUGAAAUUCUCUACAAGACGUAUGGUCUGAAGGGCUUCCCAAGGAUAUGGUAUACGCCUUUAAAUUAGGGGGUUGAACCAUAUUUUGAUCUUAAAAAUUAGAGAAAGUAUUCAAGAGGGAACUCUGAGCGUCUGAAUGAUUUUUAAUUAAAUGAUGUUCUACAAUCACUGCGAAUUUUGUUCUGUAGCAAAAUUAUUUCAUUAAAUUAAUUAUAACACCUUCCGCGUAUAUUUUUGUGACAGGUUGCUGCCUGCAGUUAUUUGACUGAAAUAAUUCUGCUACAACAACCAAAUAUGCGGUGAUUGUAGAACAUAAUUUAAUUAAAUAUAAUCACACGCUCAGUGUUCAAUCUGAAAAACUUUCUAUAUUAUUUACAGUUAAAAUGUUGUUCAGCAUCAACUUAAACGACGUAUACAAGUCUUGGGAAGCACUUUAUACCAGUUGUAUAAGUGUAUUCAACUAAUUUUAUUGUUGUGAACCUACAGCCUAAGUAUUUCAGUCGAAUUUAGACCCACUCUCUAUACCUAUAAGCUGAAGUAUUCGGUAUUUCCCGGGCUUUACGCAUCGUGAAGUGACGUAUUUUUUUUUAAAUUUUAGGUAGAGUAUUUCGAGCACAAAAUUUCAAUGUUUUAUUUCAGACCUUUUUACCACUGGUGGGUGGAUGAUGGGAGGAUUUUUAAAAAAAUCAAAUGACAGAAAUUUUCACUUUAUUUUGAAUGUCAACUGCGCUAAAUUUCAUCAAGAACUAACAACAAUUCUUUUUUCAAGGCUGGAAAUGUAGGAUUGGGUGGUUUUUUGAAAUGUACAUGUAUAAUUUGGCAUUAAAGAUAGACUUUAACUUGAAGUGAGGGAAGUAUUGUGUGUGGUGAAGGAUAGAUGUAGACAGUAAUUUUAGUCAAGAGUGCAAAAUUUCAAGAAGUGCGAAAUUAUUUUUUAAAGUAGCGGGGAUAUAGGAAUGGGUAAUGUAUUGAAAUAUCAUGUAGACAGGAUUUUCCUUGCUCCUUUUUCAAAAUUAAAUAUGGUGUGUAAUUUUUGUCGGGAGAGCACGAUUUCGUCAAGUUACAAAAUUCUGAUUUAUGGGUUGGGAAAUAGGGGAUAUGGUGGUUUUUCUAAAUCUCACGCAGGCAGUCUUUCGUCUUUUUGGUCAAGUGUGCAAACUUUCGUUAAAAUGUAUCAAAAUUAAGCUGUAAGUUGUGGGAAAGGAGGAUAGGCGGGAUUUUAGAAAUCUCACGUGGACAGCGAUCUUUCUUUCUUUUUUUUUCCUUGGAAACAGAUGCAGCCAGAAAUUUUUUUUACUAAAUUUCUCCAACGGGCAUAAUUUCAUCCAGAAGUAACAAAAUUAUGUUUUAUGGACUAGAAAGGCAGAGCCACGACCACCUUGCUGUUUCAUUUGACUCUAGACUAGAUUCAACUUGCUGUUUCAUUUCACUCCAGACUAUAUUCAAGUUGCAUGUAUUUAAUAAAGCCUUCUUAAGAGGCUCAUUGUCAAAUAACGAGGUCAUAUACUUUGGCGGGUUACACGCAAUUAUGUAAUUGCUCAUAACUGGCUCAAGGUCGCUAAAGGCGUGUCAAGAAGACUGUAGUCCAAUCAUAAACGUGAAGUACAAGUAUACGUGAUAUAAUAAUACUUUUCUGUCAAAUGAAUCUGUGAAAUAAUCAUGGUUAUAAAGAUAAAAUGUCCGAUUAAAUAUAGGUGAAAUUUAAGAGCCCAAUCCAUUUGUUUUCUCCGACUUAUAUUAGCCACCUAGUGUUUUAACCUUUCAUUUCCUAGUAAUUAUGUGACAAAAAAAAA
Molecule: long non-coding RNA, 3120 nt
Organism: Bacillus rossius redtenbacheri
Lineage: Eukaryota; Metazoa; Arthropoda; Insecta; Phasmatodea; Bacillidae
Exons: 4
Source: RefSeq, a predicted model, not a curated record